GAUGAACGCUGGCGGUAUGCUUAACACAUGCAAGUCGAACGGUCUCUUCGGAGAUAGUGGCGGACGGGUGAGUAACGCGUGAGAAUCUGGCUUUAGGUCUGGGACAACUACUGGAAACGGUGGCUAAUACCGGAUGUGCCGAAAGGUGAAAGGUUAACUGCCUGGAGAUGAGCUCGCGUCUGAUUAGCUAGUUGGUAGGGUAAGAGCUUACCAAGGCGACGAUCAGUAGCUGGUCUGAGAGGACGAUCAGCCACACUGGGACUGAGACAC
RNAcentral lists this ribosomal RNA (270 nucleotides) under Rhizonema sp. 'cyanobiont of Dictyonema sp.'. Its description in RNAcentral is "partial 16S ribosomal RNA". It matches the Rfam family "Bacterial small subunit ribosomal RNA", at positions 28 to 327 of the family's 1533-position model. Lineage: Bacteria; Bacillati; Cyanobacteriota; Cyanophyceae; Nostocales; Rhizonemataceae. The record is from RNAcentral.